Molecule: transfer RNA, 89 nt
Filed under: Acidobacteriota bacterium
Lineage: Bacteria; Pseudomonadati; Acidobacteriota
Also listed under: 1 other name
Description: Acidobacteria bacterium tRNA-Tyr
Rfam family: tRNA
About the family: Transfer RNA (tRNA) molecules are approximately 80 nucleotides in length. Their secondary structure includes four short double-helical elements and three loops (D, anti-codon, and T loops).
Source: RNAcentral
GGGCAGAUGGCCGAGUGGCUAAUGGCAGCAGACUGUAAAUCUGCCGCACCUUGCGUGCUACGGGGGUUCGAAUCCCUCUCUGCCCACCA